This is a long non-coding RNA of Pectinophora gossypiella (pink bollworm), 546 nucleotides long. RefSeq lists it as uncharacterized. The record is from RefSeq and is a predicted model, not a curated record. The transcript has 3 exons. NCBI's taxonomy places the organism in Eukaryota, Metazoa, Arthropoda, Insecta, Lepidoptera, Gelechiidae.
UGUCAAGGUGACAGUUGUUAGUUGACAUACGAUUAUUUCUGAUGUUUGGUGGUCUUCAUUUUGUAUUGGCAAAAAUAUAUCUCCAACUCCUAUCUCUAAAGACGAUGAUAACCAUUGUGAAGAAUGACAUGCAAAGGCUAUUAGAACCACAUAUCAACAAUUUUCUGACCAUGACCAAGUGAUGAAUAUGAUAAAAGUCUACCUCAUGAAAGCCACACUACUUUUCAAAGAAAAAUAUUUUCUUUGGAGUUGUAGGUAUUAUAGUGAAAACUUAAUCUUGACUUCUGUUCUGCAUAAAUGAGAAUCGCACUAUGCCAGGUAACAUAAUGUAGCGAGUACCCUGGUUGAGUCAAGAUAAUAUAAGUGGAAAGAUAAUGUGGCCCAAGUAGUAAAGGAAAGGAUGUACAAACAGCCGAAUGUGAAUCUGGCAAUAAUGUGCCUGUUUAAAUGAGUUUUAGUUGAGUACCAAAUAGUUACCUAGGUUUUCCUGGGAAAAACACUGAUCCAGCCUUUCUGAUUCAACUGAGUUUUUGUAUGGUUUUGAAU